UACAGAGGGGGCAAGCGUUGUUCGGAAUUACUGGGCGUAAAGGGCGCGUAGGCGGCCUGUUAAGUCGAACGUGAAAUCCCCGGGCUCAACCCGGGAACUGCGUCCGAUACUGGCAGGCUUGAAUACGGGAGAGGGAUGCGGAAUUCCAGGUGUAGCGGUGAAAUGCGUAGAUAUCUGGAGGAACACCGGUGGCGAAGGCGGCAUCCUGGACCGGCAUUGACGCUGAGGCGCGAAAGCCAGGGGAGCAAACGGG
This 253-nucleotide ribosomal RNA is filed under the name uncultured bacterium. RNAcentral's name for it is "partial 16S ribosomal RNA". It matches the Rfam family "Bacterial small subunit ribosomal RNA", at positions 524 to 776 of the family's 1533-position model. The record is from RNAcentral.